Molecule: ribosomal RNA, 750 nt
Filed under: Proteus vulgaris
Lineage: Bacteria; Pseudomonadati; Pseudomonadota; Gammaproteobacteria; Enterobacterales; Morganellaceae
Description: bacterial SSU rRNA
Rfam family: Bacterial small subunit ribosomal RNA
Source: RNAcentral
GGAAUACCGGUGGGGAAGGGGGCCCCCUGGACAAAGACUGACGCUCAGGUGGGGAAAGGCGGGGGGAGCAAACAGGAUUAGAUACCCUGGUAGUCCACGGCUGUAAACGAUGUCGAUUUAGAGGUUGGGGUCUUGAACCGUGGCUUCUGGAGCUAACGCGUUAAAUCGACCGCCUGGGGAGUACGGCCGCAAGGUUAAAACUCAAAUGAAUUGACGGGGGCCCGCACAAGCGGUGGAGCAUGUGGUUUAAUUCGAUGCAACGCGAAGAACCUUACCUACUCUUGACAUCCAGAGAAUCCUUUAGAGAUAGAGGAGUGCCUUCGGGAACUCUGAGACAGGUGCUGCAUGGCUGUCGUCAGCUCGUGUUGUGAAAUGUUGGGUUAAGUCCCGCAACGAGCGCAACCCUUAUCCUUUGUUGCCAGCGCGUAAUGGCGGGAACUCAAAGGAGACUGCCGGUGAUAAACCGGAGGAAGGUGGGGAUGACGUCAAGUCAUCAUGGCCCUUACGAGUAGGGCUACACACGUGCUACAAUGGCAGAUACAAAGAGAAGCGACCUCGCGAGAGCAAGCGGAACUCAUAAAGUCUGUCGUAGUCCGGAUUGGAGUCUGCAACUCGACUCCAUGAAGUCGGAAUCGCUAGUAAUCGUAGAUCAGAAUGCUACGGUGAAUACGUUCCCGGGCCUUGUACACACCGCCCGUCACACCAUGGGAGUGGGUUGCAAAAGAAGUAGGUAGCUUAACCUUCGGGAGG